This 392-nucleotide ribosomal RNA is filed under the name Pseudo-nitzschia sp. Its description in RNAcentral is "partial small subunit ribosomal RNA". It matches the Rfam family "Eukaryotic small subunit ribosomal RNA", at positions 582 to 975 of the family's 1831-position model. The record is from RNAcentral. Lineage: Eukaryota; Bacillariophyta; Bacillariophyceae; Bacillariales; Bacillariaceae.
AUUCCAGCUCCAAUAGCGUAUAUUAAAGUUGUUGCAGUUAAAAAGCUCGUAGUUGGAUUUGUGGUGUGUCCAGUCGACCUUUGCUCUUUGAGUGAUUGUGUUGUACUGGUCUGCCAUGUUUGGGUGGAAUCUGUGUGGCAUUAAGUUGUCGUGCAGGGGAUGCCCAUCGUUUACUGUGAAAAAAUUAGAGUGUUCAAAGCAGGCUUAUGCCGUUGAAUAUAUUAGCAUGGAAUAAUGAUAUAGGACCUUGGUACUAUUUUGUUGGUUUGCGCACUAAGGUAAUGAUUAAGAGGGACAGUUGGGGGUAUUUGUAUUCCAUUGUCAGAGGUGAAAUUCUUGGAUUUUUGGAAGACAAACUACUGCGAAAGCAUUUACCAAGGAUGUUUUCAUCA